CCUACGGGUGGCAGCAGUGAGGAAUAUUGGACAAUGGGCGGAAUCCUGAACCAGCCAAUUAGCGUGCAGGAUGACGGCCCUACGGGUUGUAAACUGCUUUUAUACGGGAAUAACGAGCCUUACGUGGAGGGCUUUGCAUGUACCGUAUGAAUAAGGACCGGCUAAUUCCGGGCCAGCAGCCGCGGUAAUACGGAAGGGCCGGGCGUUAUCCGGAUUUAUUGGGUGUAAAGGGAGCGUACGCCGCAUUUCAAGCGUGCUGUGAAAGGUCCGGGCUCAACCCCGGCCUUGCAGGGGGAACUGGCGGGCUUGAGUCCGCGGAAAGCAGGCGGAAUUCGUCGUGUAGCGGUGAAAUGCUUAGAUAUGACGAAGAACCCCGAUGGCGAAGGCAGCUUGCUGCAGCGGAACUGACGCUGAGGCUCGAAAGCGCGGGGAUCGAACAGGAUUAGAUACCCGGGUAGUC
RNAcentral lists this ribosomal RNA (460 nucleotides) under uncultured bacterium. Its description in RNAcentral is "partial 16S ribosomal RNA". It matches the Rfam family "Bacterial small subunit ribosomal RNA", at positions 338 to 795 of the family's 1533-position model. The record is from RNAcentral.